CCUACGGGGGGCUGCAGUGGGGAAUAUUGGGCAAUGGGGGAAACCCUGACCCAGCAACGCCGCGUGAAGGAAGAAGGUUUUCGGAUCGUAAACUUCUAUCCUUGGUGAAGAUAAUGACGGUAGCCAAGAAGGAAGCCCCGGCUAACUACGUGCCAGCAGCCGCGGUAAUACGUAGGGGGCAAGCGUUGUCCGGAAUGAUUGGGCGUAAAGGGCGCGUAGGCGGCCUGGUAAGUCUGGAGUGAAAGUCCUGCUUUUAAGGUGGGAAUUGCUUUGGAUACUGUCGGGCUUGAGUGCAGGAGAGGUAAGCGGAAUUCCCGGUGUAGCGGUGAAAUGCGUAGAGAUCGGGAGGAACACCAGUGGCGAAGGCGGCUUACUGGACUGUAACUGACGCUGAGGCGCGAAAGUGUGGGGAGCAAACAGGAUUAGAUACCCCUGUAGUC
RNAcentral lists this ribosomal RNA (440 nucleotides) under uncultured Bacillota bacterium. Its description in RNAcentral is "bacterial SSU rRNA". It matches the Rfam family "Bacterial small subunit ribosomal RNA", at positions 338 to 795 of the family's 1533-position model. Lineage: Bacteria; Bacillati; Bacillota. The record is from RNAcentral.